Molecule: ribosomal RNA, 27 nt
Filed under: uncultured Tomentella
Lineage: Eukaryota; Fungi; Basidiomycota; Agaricomycetes; Thelephorales; Thelephoraceae
Description: partial 18S ribosomal RNA
Source: RNAcentral
CCGUAGGUGACCUGCGGAAGGAUCUUA